Molecule: ribosomal RNA, 200 nt
Filed under: uncultured bacterium
Lineage: Bacteria
Description: partial 16S ribosomal RNA
Rfam family: Bacterial small subunit ribosomal RNA
Source: RNAcentral
ACGCUCGACACCUACGGAGGCAGCAGUCGGGAAUAUUGCGCAAUGGAGGAAACUCUGACGCAGUGACGCCGCGUAUGGGAAGAAGGUUUUCGGAUUGUAAACCAUUUUAGACAGGGAAGAAAAAAGACAGUACCUGUAGAAUAAGCUCCGGCUAACUACGUGCAGCACGCCGCGGUAAUCUGAGCGGGCGUGGACAAGGC